UACGAAGGGGACUAGCGUUGUUCGGAAUCACUGGGCGUAAAGCGCACGUAGGCGGCUUUGUAAGUUAGAGGUGAAAGCCCAGGGCUUAACCCUGGAAUUGCCUUUAAGACUGCAUCGCUAGAAUCGUGGAGAGGUGAGUGGAAUUCCGAGUGUAGAGGUGAAAUUCGUAGAUAUUCGGAAGAACACCAGUGGCGAAGGCGACUCACUGGACACGUAUUGACGCUGAGGUGCGAAAGCGUGGGGAGCAAACGGG
Molecule: ribosomal RNA, 253 nt
Filed under: uncultured bacterium
Lineage: Bacteria
Description: partial 16S ribosomal RNA
Rfam family: Bacterial small subunit ribosomal RNA
Source: RNAcentral